GGGAAUUUUCGGCAAUGGGGGGAACCCUGACCGAGCAACGCCGCGUGAACGAAGAAGUUAUUCGUAAUGUAAAGUUCUUUUAUUUGCGAAGAAGAAAGUGACGGUAGCAACUGAAUAAGCUCCGGCUAACUACGUGCCAGCAGCCGCGGUAAUACGUAGGGAGCGAGCGUUAUCCGGAAUUAUUGGGCGUAAAGGGUGCGUAGAUGGCACAAAAAGUCUUGUGUAAAAAUGCUAGGCUCAACCUAGUAGAGCAAAAGAUACUUUUGAGCUAGAGUAUGGCAGAGGCAAGUGGAACUACAUGUGUAGCGGUAAAAUGCGUAAAUAUAUGUAAGAACACCAGUGGCGAAGGCGGCUUGCUGGGCCGAUACUGACAUUGAGGCACGAAAGCGUGGGGAGCAAACAGG
RNAcentral lists this ribosomal RNA (404 nucleotides) under uncultured bacterium. RNAcentral's name for it is "bacterial SSU rRNA". It matches the Rfam family "Bacterial small subunit ribosomal RNA", at positions 357 to 776 of the family's 1533-position model. The record is from RNAcentral.